RNAcentral lists this ribosomal RNA (494 nucleotides) under uncultured bacterium. RNAcentral's name for it is "partial 16S ribosomal RNA". It matches the Rfam family "Bacterial small subunit ribosomal RNA", at positions 28 to 507 of the family's 1533-position model. The record is from RNAcentral.
GACGAACGCUGGCGGCGUGCUUAACACAUGCAAGUCGAACGGUGAAGCGCCUUCCUUUUUGGUGGGUGUGGAUGAGUGGCGAACGGGUGAGUAACACGUGAGUAACCUGCCCCCUUCUUCUGGAUAACCGCAUGAAAGUGUGGCUAAUACGGGAUAUUCUGGGUCUGUCGCAUGAUGGGUCUGGGAAAGAUAUUGUUUCGGUGGGGGAUGGGCUCGCGGCCUAUCAGCUUGUUGGUGGGGUGAUGGCCUACCAAGGCGGUGACGGGUAGCCGGCCUGAGAGGGUGGACGGUCACACUGGGACUGAGACACGGCCCAGACUCCUACGGGAGGCAGCAGUGGGGAAUAGUGCACAAUGGGCGCAAGCCUGAUGCAGCGACGCCGCGUGAGGGAUGGAGGCCUUCGGGUUGUGAACCUCUUUCGCCAGUGAGGCAGGCCUGCCUCGUUUGUGGGUGGGUUGACGGUAGCUGGAUAAGAAGCGCCGGCUAACUACGUG